Microplitis mediator is the source of this 520-nucleotide long non-coding RNA. RefSeq lists it as uncharacterized. NCBI's taxonomy places the organism in Eukaryota, Metazoa, Arthropoda, Insecta, Hymenoptera, Braconidae. The record is from RefSeq and is a predicted model, not a curated record. The transcript has 4 exons.
AGUGAUAUUGAAAUAUUGAUAUGGAAUAAGAACAAGUUUAUGGUGAUAAUUCAAGUUGGGUCGUCCAGAAUGUAUAAGACGUUUUACAAGUGCAUAGUCUAAAAAGUAUUUUCUAAAAGUUUCGAGGGACUAAAGACGUAGUCUACAACAAAAUGGUUAACGUCAAGUUAUUUCUAUUGUUAAUUUUGGUAGUCACUUUGAUUGCUGCCAAAGCGUACGCUUGCCUUAAAGCCGGUAGUAAUUGCACUAAUGAAGACGAAUGUUGCGGCGACAUAUGUGCGGAAUAUGAGGACGGAACUCGUGAGUGUGUGGAAUUGCAUGAUUAGUCAUAAACAAAGUUGUUUUCAUAUAAAAAAAAUAAGUUUUAAUUGUUUCAAGGUUAUAAAAAUUAUAAACAUCAAAUAUUUUGUUAUUAAAUCAAUUAUUUACUAAAAAAAUGUUUUAAGAAAUUCACUCCUUACUUUUUUUUAAUCAUAAAUUAUAUAAAUUAUAUAAUAAAAUUUUCUGUCUGAUUCAAAAU